AUUGAACGCUGGCGGCAGGCCUAACACAUGCAAGUCGAGCGGAUGAAGGGAGCUUGCUCCUGGAUUCAGCGGCGGACGGGUGAGUAAUGCCUAGGAAUCUGCCUGGUAGUGGGGGAUAACGUCCGGAAACGGGCGCUAAUACCGCAUACGUCCUGAGGGAGAAAGUGGGGGAUCUUCGGACCUCACGCUAUCAGAUGAGCCUAGGUCGGAUUAGCUAGUUGGUGGGGUAAAGGCCUACCAAGGCGACGAUCCGUAACUGGUCUGAGAGGAUGAUCAGUCACACGGGAACUGAGACACGGUCCAGACUCCUACGGGAGGCAGCAGUGGGGAAUAUUGGACAAUGGGCGAAAGCCUGAUCCAGCCAUGCCGCGUGUGUGAAGAAGGUCUUCGGAUUGUAAAGCACUUUAAGUUGGGGGGAAGGGCAGUAAGUUAAUACCUUGCUGUUUUGACGUUACCAACAGAAUAAGCACCGGCUAACUUCGUG
RNAcentral lists this ribosomal RNA (484 nucleotides) under uncultured bacterium. Its description in RNAcentral is "partial 16S ribosomal RNA". It matches the Rfam family "Bacterial small subunit ribosomal RNA", at positions 30 to 507 of the family's 1533-position model. The record is from RNAcentral.